Molecule: RNA transcript, 9568 nt
Organism: Triplophysa dalaica
Lineage: Eukaryota; Metazoa; Chordata; Actinopteri; Cypriniformes; Nemacheilidae
Exons: 3
Source: RefSeq, a predicted model, not a curated record
UGACAUAUUGUAAUGCUUAUUGAUAUGAUUUGUAAAGUUCAUUGAGGUUUUUUGAAACAUGGUUAAAAUACAAUGUUUAGAGAAAAUUGUUGAUUAUAAAUUGUUUAUAUUGUGUUUAAAAAUGAAAAGCUUUUCUGUAUGUAAUGUUACUUUAAUAAUGCGUAAUGCGUCACAUGACUAAGAGAGGGAGUGAAGAACUGUGGGUCAGAGAGCAAUGGAUGCGAACAGGUCGUAACACGUGCGGCUCCUUCAAAAUGUAUAAUCUCUGCAUAUGGUCCUAAAGGCGCACACGGUAUUUUUUUAUAUUUGUUGCAUGUUAUAAUUUUUAUGUUUGAGUUUAUGUGCUUUAAUGUGUGUAAUGUAACGUGUUCUGUAUUGUAACAAUGAGGCAAGUUGGACUAUUUGUUAUGGGAUUCUGUUGUAAAAGAGGUGUGUUUAAGUUGUAUAUGUCUUUUAUUUGUAGUUUUCACGGUGUCUUUCUUAGACCGUGACAUCUUCGGAUCGACACAGGAAAGAGAGAGCAAAAUAAAAGUCUAAAAGACAUCUGUAUGAUUCGUGGCCGUGAUUUAUUGGAUCAGUGCAGUUAAAGUGAAAACGUACCGCCGAAGUCGACGAGAGUACAGAGUAAAGAAAGACGCCAUAAGAGAAAAGACGAUAUCGCUGGUGUAGGCGGAGCUUCGGUUUGCUGAUCGACAGAUGACCGGGAGUGUUGGUUUCUGGCAUCUUUAGAGAUAUCGCGUCUUACCAGGAGAGGGCGUGAAUUACCUGUGUUGACAACAUCGCCGCAAAUCUUCGGCAAAGACUUCAGAGUCCAGCGUUACUGUGUGACGUUACUCAAUACCGGAAGAAGAGUGCGACCAUACAAACAUCAGGUUUGACUGUUAACUUUAAAAUUUCUGGACAUUUAAAAGGACUUUGAUAAAAGGGAAACGUUUCAUUUAAAUAUAAUUGUGUUUAUUUGAUUAUCAUUACAUUUACACUUUCUAUUAUUAUCAACAUCGUACAAUUCAACUGUUGUUCAUGUUCUUGCUCUGUUAUAUGAUCUGAGUUCUUAAAUGGUAUUUUAAGUGUUACUGGGAUUUUUCAGUUAAACACUGUCUUGGUCUCAAAGAGUAUAUAAAGUAGAGCUAAAAAAUAAUUAAACAAGAAGAAGAUAAAGUGCCAGGCACAAUGUCAAAUAAUGAAAGGUUGUUGCAAGGUGAGCAAAUGGAGACCAGUCAGACAGAGUUAGAAACAAUACAAGAAGUAGAGAAAGGUUCUACUUCUGCCCCUUCUAAAAAAGAACCAAGAAAGUCUUCAAGGGAAAGAAAACUAACUGAAAAAAUGCUGGAGCUUAAGCAGCAAGAAAUUUCUCAAAAGGAGAUUAAGUGGAUCAAGCUUUAUGAAAGUUGGAAAGAUCAAGCGAAAGAUACACGUGUCAAAAUAAAGGAUGAGUGUUCUGAGGAAGACUUAAGUAAAAUGAUGGAUGCCGUAGAAGGACUGGAGACACAAGUAAAAGAAAUGUAUGAAACCAUUCGUUCUCAAACAGCACCUUCUACCGAAAUUAGAAGGAAGAUGGAUUCCUGUACAGCAGUAACAGCAGACCUAAUGAGGCUACUGAAAGUACGUAUGUGUGAAGUCGGGUUAGAGGAAUUUGAUGCUACAGGAGAAAAUGCAAGAAUUCACAUGGUGCUGGAUAAAGAGUACGCCAACUCAAUAUUUGGAAGUACAAAAUCAAAACACACUGUCCAAAGUAGCCAUUCAAAAUGUUCGUCCGAAAACCUAAGCAUCGCAGCAAAAAGAGCAGAAUGUGCAGCACAACUCGCAGCAAAACAGGCUGAAAUUAAGAUGGAAGAAGCUAUAGCUGCACAAAAACAGGAGCUAAAGAGACUGGAAAACCAAAGAGAUCUACAAGUAAUAGCGGCAAAGCUUAAAGCAUACUCUGAAGCUGAUUCUAGUGACGAAAGUAGAACCACAGGUAGUGAAGUGGCCAAUAGUCCCAUUUAUUCUCCUAAAGAAAUGAAAAAGGAACAGACAUUCAUUAACAUUGACAAAGUGCAACCAAAUCAAUCUAACGAUGAUGGAUCAUUAGCACAAGCCUUGCAUGACGCAAUGGUUCUUACCAGACUACCAGCACCCGAACCCUCAGUCUUUACAGGCGAUCCACUUACAUUCUUAGAGUGGAGUUCAAGUUUUAAAGCUUUGAUUGAAAGACGAUGCACAAAUCCAGUUGAUAGGUUAUUCUAUCUAAAGAAAUACAUCAGUGGUGAAGCAAAAUGUGUACUGGAGGGAAGCUUUUUCCGAAAGGAUGAUAAAGCCUAUGAACAGGCAUGGGAGCUAUUGAACUCUAGAUAUGGUCAUCCCUUUGUAAUACAGCGGGCAUUUAGAGAAAAACUAAAUAACUGGCCCAAGAUUAGUUCUAGGGAGUCAGUUAAAUUGAGACAAUUUAGUGAUUUCCUGAUAUCCUGCAACAAUGCUAUACCACACAUCAAAGGACUUCAGGUGUUAAAUGACUGUGAAGAGAAUCAGAGAAUGGUACAAAAACUCCCUGAUUGGGUAACCUCUCAAUGGAACCGUUAUGUCACAAAGCACUUAAGAGAAACGGAGGAAUACCCUAAGUUCAAUGAGUUUGCUGAAUUUGUGGCCCGUGAGGCAGAAGUGGCAUGCAACCCUGUAACUUCCUUUAAUGCCUUGAAGUCAACAGAAGAAAGGCCCAUCAGAGACGUAAAGCGCCAAAGGGCCAACGCGUUUAUAACAAAUGUAAAGGCACCUGAUAAGUUCUGUACAGUGAUGAGGUCGAACAGUGCCGGUGAAAAUCAACCAAAGGAAUCAAAUAAAGUAAAUGUCACAUCGCCAUUUUCAGAGCCAGUUCCAUGCCUGUGUUGUGGAGACAGCCACUCCAUCCACAAAUGUCAGACGUUUGCCAAUAAGCCAGUGGAAGAGAAGAAAAGGCUUAUAUUUGAUAACAAUCUCUGCUUUGGGUGUCUUAGACGAGGACAUAAUUCGAGAGAGUGUAGAAGCAAGGCAAUUUGUAGCAUUUGUAAGAAACGUCAUCCAACCCCACUUCAUGAAGAACGCUCUUCUGCUGCAGCAGACACAUCCUCUCAUGCUAUCGAAACAGAAGAAACAACUUCUUCCCUUUCUUGCUCUGUUGACAGAGGUUGUGGUGGGAGUACAUCCAUGAUAGUUCCUGUGUGGAUUUCUUCAUCUACAAAUCCAGAAAAACAGAUCCUGGUGUAUGCCUUACUGGAUACCCAAAGCAGCAACACCUUUGUAGACAAAGAAGUAUGUGAAGAGAUAGGUGCGAGUCUAGAGCCAGUUAAGUUAAAGCUUACCACAAUGAUGGGAAAAGAUUCCAUUAUUCAGAGUGAGAGAGUCAAUGGGCUUCGAGUUAAAGGGCUUCUCUCUCAAAGUCUUGUCAACUUGCCACCCGCCUAUACCAGAGAUUUCAUUCCUCUUGAACGUUCCCACAUACCUACCUCUCAGACUGCAAAAAGGUGGAAUCAUCUAAACAGUAUAGUGCAGGAAAUGCCAAAGCUGAUGGAUUGCAAAGUCGGACUGUUGAUAGGUUACGACUGCUCAAGAGCACUGGCACCACGACAAGUCAUCACAGGAGGUGAAGAUGAGCCCUAUGCCAUUAAGACAGAUUUAGGUUGGAGUAUUGUCGGUAGCUCACCAAAGGUUGCAAAGUCUACAGAAGUAAUAGGUCUGUGCCAUCGCGUACACGUCAAGGAAGUUCCACCAUUGACACCAGCCACCAUCAUCAGAGCUCUUGAAUCAGACUUCAAGGAUACCAACCCUGGAGAAAGGAGCAUGUCACAAGAUGACAUACAAUUCAUGCAACUAUUAAAUGAGAAAACAAACUACAAUGCGGAUGGUCACUUGGAAAUGCCCCUACCCUUUAGGACACGCCCACACCUGCCAGAAAAUAAGCGGUUGGCUUUGGCACGGCUGAAGCGGUUAAAAGGGAAGCUUGAGAAAAAUCCAAAGUUCAAGGAAGACUAUGUCAAAUUCAUGGGAGGUGUUUUCAAGGAUGGUGAUGCUGAGAGAGCUGAACAACAAUCUGAAACAGGAAAUGUGUGGUAUAUCCCUCACCAAGGUGUUUACCACCCUAAAAAGCCAAACAAAAUUAGGGUAGUGUUCGACUGUUCAGCCAAGUAUGAUGGCACUGCACUAAAUGAUCAUCUGCUCGUUGGACCAGAUCUUACAAAUGGACUGACUGGAGUGCUCUGCAGGUUUCGCAAAUACCCUAUAGCAGUCAUCUGUGAUGUGGAGAAGAUGUUCCACAGGUUCCAUGUAAGCCAGGAGGACAGAGAUUAUUUACGUUUCUUGUGGUGGGAGAACGGGGAUACGAAUUCUGAGCCAAAGGAAUAUCGUAUGAAAGUCCAUCUAUUUGGAGCGGCAUCCUCACCUGGCUGCGCAAAUUAUGGAAUGAAGCAUCUUGCAAACCAAAAUGAGAAAGACUAUCCUGCAGCAGCCAACUUCAUAAGGAAAAAUUUCUAUGUUGACGAUGGCCUCGUCAGUGUUGAAGAUGUGGACACUGCCAUAAACCUAGUGAGAGAAGCACAAACUGUGUGUGCCAAAGGAAGACUGCAUCUUCAUAAAUUCAUCUCCAAUAACAGAGAAGUUUUGGAGUCAAUACCUGACAAUGAACGAGCAACUGAAAUGCAUGACGUGGAUCUCAGGCAUGAUGACCUUCCAGUCCAAACUGUGUUAGGAGUGAAGUGGAGUGCAAAUAGUGACACCUUCUCAUUUAAAGUUAUUUUGGAUGAGAAACCAGCAACGAGGCGGGGAAUUCUCUCAACUAUAGCUUCUGUGUUUGACCCACUGGGCUUUCUAGCUCCUUUCCUCCUCCUGGGAAAGAAAAUACUACAGGACAUGUGCCGAAAGGGCAUUGAAUGGGAUGAACCACUGCCAGAAGAAUUAAAGCCACGAUGGGAAAGCUGGCUAAAUGAUCUAAAGAAUCUGCAGGGUCUUCAGAUUCCAAGAUGCAUCACAUCUGGAAAAAUGGAAACGACCCAGAGAAUUGAACUUCAUCAUUUUUCCGAUGCGAGUAGUCAAGGGUAUGGUCAGUGCUCAUACAUACGAUUGCUGAGUGAAGACAAAGUACACUGCUCUUUAGUCAUUGGGAAAGCAAGGGUUGCACCCACUAAAGUUGUGACAAUACCCAGGCUUGAGUUAUCAGCUGCAGUAGUUUCUUCAGCAGUCAGCAGUAUGUUAAGGGAAGAGCUAGAACUCAAAAUCGACCAAGAAUAUUUUUGGACAGACUCAAAAGUAGUCUUGGGCUAUAUCAAUAAUGAAGCUAGAAGGUUCCACGUUUUUGUAGCCAAUAGAGUUCAAAGAAUCAGAGAAACAUCAGACCCCGCACAGUGGUACUACGUUGAUAGUGACAGUAAUCCAGCAGACCAUGCCUCCAGAGGCCUCAGUGUGUCAGAGUUGAUCAGUUCAAAUUGGUUUACUGGACCCAAGUUUUUGUGGGAAAGAGAGAUUGUCACGUCGGAGUCAGAUCCAGAGCUCUUGGUGGGUGAUCCUGAAGUAAAAGUGACACAGGUACUACAAACCAAGCUAGAAAAGGAAGAACAAUUUUUGGACAGAUUCAGUCGGUUCUCAAAAUGGCAUACAGCAUUGAAAGUGGUCGCUCGAAUCCAGCAACUAGCUAAAGGAAACAAAUUCCCAAAGCCCAUAAAUGUCGAGGACUUAAAGAAAGCAGGUGUCGCGCUUAUAAAAUUGGCACAAAAGGAUGCAUUCGAAAAAGAAAUGGAAACACUAAGUCAUGGCAAACUUCCAAAUAACAAUCAAUUUUUCCAGCUUGAUCCAGUGCUGCACGAUGGCGUUCUCAGAGUAGGGGGGCGUUUAACCAAAGCUUCCUCACCUUUGGACUUGAAGCAUCCAAUAAUCCUGCCAAAGAAUGGUUCGGUGACACGUCUAAUUUUGGGUCACUGCCAUGAGAAAACUCAACACCAAGGCAGAGGGCAAACCCUUAACGAACUGAGAGCUAACGGUUACUGGAUUGUUGGUGGCAGUAAAGUUGUAGCUAACUACAUUAAGCAGUGCGUUACAUGCAGAAGAGCUCGCAGGCCAACAGAAACACAGAAGAUGGCAGACCUACCUGCUAACCGUGUUGAUCCCUCGCCACCGUUUUCCUACUGUGGCAUGGAUUGUUUCGGGCCAUUUCACACCAAGCAAGGCCGUAAAGAGUACAAGAGAUAUGGCCUCAUAUUCACCUGUCUCUCUUCUAGAGCAAUUCAUGUGGAAAUGCUGGAAGACCUUACUACUGAUGCUUUCAUAAAUGCUCUGCGGAGUUUUAUAGCAAUCCGUGGUGCUGUAAGAGAAAUCCGGUCAGAUCAAGGCACAAAUUUCAUUGGGGCAAAGAAUGAACUGACGAAGGCACUUAACGAGUUGGACAAAGAGAGACUAACUGCAUACUUAGCCCAAAAACAAUGUGACUUUACAUUCAAUGUACCUGAUGCCAGCCACAUGGGGGGUAUUUGGGAAAGGCAGAUCAGAACAAUUAGGAGUGUCUUAAAUUGGGUCCUCUCUCAAAGUGCUGGCAGAUUAGAUGAUGCUUCCUUAAGAACCUUCCUUUAUGAAGCCAUGUCUAUCAUAAAUUGCCGUCCACUCACCACUGAUACCAUUAAUGACCCAAAGAGCCUAGAGCCUCUUACCCCAAACCACUUGCUCACCAUGAAAGCUUCUGUACCGCUGCCACCACCAGGAAAAUUUGAAGCAGAAGACCUUUAUUCCAAAAAAAGGUGGCGUAGAGUCCAGUACUUGACAGAGCAAUUCUGGGGUAGAUGGAAAAGGGAGUACUUGGCAAACAUAGCACUCAGACAGCGCUGGCAUUCCGCAAAACGAAAUGUAAAAAUCGGAGAUGUUGUCAUUCUCCAAGAGGACGCACUUCCACGCAAUGGCUGGAGACUAGGAAGAGUGCUUGAUGUUCGUACAGAUGAAGAUGGAUUGGUGCGAAAGGUCACAAUUCAAUUAGGCGAUAGAAAGGCGAGUAAAGAGGGCAAAAGCAAAAACAAUAAUUUUUCUAUUCUUGAACGUCCAAUUCAUAAAUUGGUUGUGCUUGUAGAAAACAACUAAAUUUGUGUGGUAAUCUCUAAAUGCAAUAAUGCAUGGAAUUUGAAGUACUCAUUUAACAUGAACAUGGAUAAGUAAAAACACAAUUUGUUCUGAUGUUUGAUUUUGAAAAUUACUGGAUUUAUUCAAACAUUUAUUGAAGUUCAUCAUAAAUCAUAGUAAUUUGAUGGGAGUGUAAAUGUCCGAUGACAUAUUGUAAUGCUUAUUGAUAUGAUUUGUAAAGUUCAUUGAGGUUUUUUGAAACAUGGUUAAAAUACAAUGUUUAGAGAAAAUUGUUGAUUAUAAAUUGUUUAUAUUGUGUUUAAAAAUGAAAAGCUUUUCUGUAUGUAAUGUUACUUUAAUAAUGCGUAAUGCGUCACAUGACUAAGAGAGGGAGUGAAGAACUGUGGGUCAGAGAGCAAUGGAUGCGAACAGGUCGUAACACGUGCGGCUCCUUCAAAAUGUAUAAUCUCUGCAUAUGGUCCUAAAGGCGCACACGGAAACAAGCAACUGAGCACAGCAUCUGAACCUGGAGCAGCUACAACCUUCUUCACAAGAACCUCCUGAGAACUCCCUCCGGACCACAGUAAGGGGCUGUGUGCUGAAGAGAUCACAUGAAAACAGUGACGGCUUUUUCUGGCAGAUGCAAAAUGGAGCGGCACUCAGCAUUUAAUGGCUGGAUAUCAUGCUGAGAUCACAACACCUUGACGGGAAAUCUUGUCACAUUGUAAUCUCGUGAGAUUUUGUGGCACAAGUUGUUUUAUCUUCAUUUUACUGUAUAUUUUAUGUUAAUAUACAAUAGUAGGCCACAGGCAGGGUAACAUUGUUGUUUUUUCAGUAAUAAACAGCUUGUGAAAUGUGAAAAGGUAUUAUUGUUCAGAUUGUUAAACUUCAUAAGUUUAACAGGGGUUACUUCAAUAAAACCACAGACAGUAAGACUAAUAUUUUCUACUUUUUAGACUGUGAAUAUUUUAGACUAAGGAUAAUAAAGGUACGGUAGGUACCACAGAUACGUGAUUUGAGCAUUUGAGCAUGAACCGAGACGUUCACUUUCAGUCGGUCUCUCGACGUUGUGUUGAGAGACAGACUGGGGACCUAUCUCUACACGACACGGCGCUGAGCCGUAUCACAACCUCAAGCUGAGCAACACUGACUAGCUUGGCGAGUCACAAGUGAGCAGUACAGCGAGACGUAAUCUUCAAACGUAACAGUAGUGGACAUACUGAGAAGCCUGUACUGACAGUCAUCACGGACAGAGGUGUACGCCUUCAAAGUGAGGCGCCGUCCGAGCCUGUAGCACUGGGGAAAACACUGCUCUCCUCUUGGAGAGUGUGUUACGGAGACCACAUCCUGCCAUAUGGGAGGUACAUGUGGAGACACUGGGGCAACAGUCCUAGUAUAGGGGUCCACCAUGAUUAUUGCUGUAUAUUGUAGAGGUGGGCGAUAUAUAUCGUCUGCGAUAAUAUCGAGUUUGUUGUGUAAACGAUGUGCAAAUUCUCAUUAUCGAGUAUUUAAAUUACUCCGAAAAAACACGCAUUAAAACGCCACACAUUCAGAGGCUGCAGCAGGGCGUCACGUGAUUGCUGUUCUGCGCAUACACGUCGUCAUCUCUCUCACAGGCAUGGUAAGCGAAUGGCCGCCCGCAAGUUGAACACCGGCGCUGUGCCGAAAUCUGUGACCCAUCGAAAUCUGUGACUAGAGAGCUGUUUCGUAAUUAUUCACGCGAGAACGUGCCUGGCACGUGAACGCGAGCGCGGAAGGGGAGUUUCUUAACUGUUUACCUGACCGCCGACUCCACGAUGACGUCAUGUUGCCUCGCGCUCUUGUGUUUGUGUAGCUUAUGCGCGAAGCCGACUUCUGGAGAAUCAGAAGCGGCGACUGAAUACUGCACAACAAGCUCUUUCAUUUAAAAGACAAGACCCGAGUACAUUCUGUAUUAUCAUGACGGAUUUGUCUUGGCUCAUAAUUUGAACUAAAUCUACAUGUGAACAGUGAGCAGUUUGCCUAUAAUGUUCUAUAAAGUUUCAGAAUCUGUCCAUGCCAGUGUGUGCUUUAAUAAUAGUGACUAUAGUUUAUUUGUCUGUAAAUUGUGGACCUUGUUUACUUUGAUGUCAUUUGUUAACAAAUGUAUAUUAUAUUAUUUAAGAUAAUCUGAUUUGGAAGUGCACCUUUUGGGCAGAUUUUCCUUUUGAUUUUUGUGCAAUCUUUGUACUGGGCAGUACUUGAAGUUAGGUAUUUGUUCAAUAAGGCCAUAGGUGGUAAGGCAAUAAGGCCCUAAGGAAACAUGGUUGUGUGCAAUAUGUUACAGAUCAGAGUACUUUAUUUACAGAUGCUAUUUGUUCAUUAUUAUUAUUAUUUCAUCUUGCUUGUAUGCUGCACAAUUUACAUUACAGCAGAGGUGUACAACUGAAUGUUUACUCAGAGUUUGAUGUUCUUACACUAGUUCAAUUAGUAUUUUGUAUGUCUUUGAAUUGUUUUUACUUCAAUACUUACAUGUUAAAGAAAAUAAAUAAGCAAUGUUUUCAUU